UUACAACAAGAACAAGGGCGUAACAUGC
This 28-nucleotide small RNA is filed under the name Bombyx mori (domestic silkworm). RNAcentral describes it as "ovarian small RNA-36410". The record is from RNAcentral. Lineage: Eukaryota; Metazoa; Arthropoda; Insecta; Lepidoptera; Bombycidae.